RNAcentral lists this ribosomal RNA (371 nucleotides) under Naticarius hebraeus. Its description in RNAcentral is "partial 16S ribosomal RNA". It matches the Rfam family "Bacterial large subunit ribosomal RNA", at positions 1954 to 2539 of the family's 2925-position model. Lineage: Eukaryota; Metazoa; Mollusca; Gastropoda; Littorinimorpha; Naticidae. The record is from RNAcentral.
AGGUAGCAUAAUCAUUUGCCCUAUAAUUGAGGGCUAGUAUGAAUGGUUUGACAAGAGUAAUACUGUCUCUAUAAAAAUUUCCUGAAUUUAUUUUUUAGGUGAAGAAUCCUAAAUAAAAUUAAAAGACAAGAAGACCCUAUCGAGCUUAAAAUCUAUUUAUAAAAUAAGAAAAAUUAUAAAAUAUUUUUAGUUAUAAAAAAUUUUGGUUGGGGCGACUAAKGAACAAAUAAAGCUUCUUAUAAUUUUAAAAAUCUAUAAAUAAUGAUCCAUUUAUUUAAUGAUUAAAAGAAUUAGUUACCGUAGGGAUAACAGCAUAAUCCAUUUUGAGAGUUCAUAUCGAAAAWUGGGUUUGUGACCUCGAUGUUGGACUA